UAGUCCACGCCGUAAACGAUGUCUGCUAGCCGUCGGGGUACUUGGUACUUCGGUGGCGCCGCUAACGCAUUAAGCAGACCGCCUGGGGAGUACGGUCGCAAGAUUAAAACUUAAAGGAAUUGACGGGGGCCCGCACAAGCAGUGGAGCAUGUGGUUUAAUUCGAAGCAACGCGCAGAACCUUACCAACCCUUGACAUCCUUGGACCACCAGAGAGAUCUGGCUUUCCCUUACGGGACCAAGUGACAGGUGCUGCAUGGCUGUCGUCAGCUCGUGUCGUGAGAUGUUCGGUUAAGUCCGGCAACGAGCGCAACCACAUCUUAGUUGCCAGCAGUUCGGCUGGGCACUCUAAAGAAACUGCCCGUGAUAAGCGGGAGGAAGGUGUGGAUGACGUCAAGUCCUCAUGGCCCUUACGGGGUUGGGGCUACACACGUGCUACAAUGGGCAGUCUACAGUGAGUUAAUCUCCAAAAGAUGUCUCAGUUCGGGAUUGGGGGUCUGGCAACUCGA
This 507-nucleotide ribosomal RNA is filed under the name uncultured bacterium. RNAcentral describes it as "bacterial SSU rRNA". It matches the Rfam family "Bacterial small subunit ribosomal RNA", at positions 791 to 1315 of the family's 1533-position model. The record is from RNAcentral.